This 253-nucleotide ribosomal RNA is filed under the name uncultured bacterium. RNAcentral describes it as "partial 16S ribosomal RNA". It matches the Rfam family "Bacterial small subunit ribosomal RNA", at positions 524 to 776 of the family's 1533-position model. The record is from RNAcentral.
UACGAAGGUGACAAGCGUUGUUCGGAAUCAUUGGGCGUAAAGCGCACGUAGGCGGGUUUGUAAGUCGAUUGUAAAAACCCUGGGCUUAACCCGGGACCUGCAGUUGAAACUACAAGUCUUGAAUGCUCGAGAGGAUGGUGGAAUUCCAGGAGUAGAAGUGAAAUUCGUAGAUAUCUGGAGGAACACCGGAGGCGAAAGCGGCCAUCUGGCGAGACAUUGACGCUAAGGUGCGAAAGCGUGGGGAUCAAACAGG